AUGAACGCUGGCGGCGUGCCUAAUACCUGCAAGUCGAGCGAACGGACGAGAAGCUUGCUUCUCUGAUGUUAGCGGCGGACGGGUGAGUAACACGUGGAUAACCUACCUAUAAGACUGGGAUAACUUCGGGAAACCGGAGCUAAUACCGGAUGAUAUUUUGAACCGCAUGGUUCAAAAGUGAAAGACGGUCUUGCUGUCACUUAUAGAUGGAUCCGCGCUGCAUUAGCUAGUUGGUAAGGUAACGGCUUACCAAGGCAACGAUGCAUAGCCGACCUGAGAGGGUGAUCGGCCACACUGGAACUGAGACACGGUCCAGACUCCUACGGGAGGCAGCAGUAGGGAAUCUUCCGCAAUGGGCGAAAGCCUGACGGAGCAACGCCGCGUGAGUGAUGAAGGUCUUCGGAUCGUAAAACUCUGUUAUUAGGGAAGAACAUAUGUGUAAGUAACUGUGCACAUCUUGACGGUACCUAAUCAGAAAGCCACGGCUAACUACGU
Molecule: ribosomal RNA, 495 nt
Filed under: uncultured bacterium
Lineage: Bacteria
Description: partial 16S ribosomal RNA
Rfam family: Bacterial small subunit ribosomal RNA
Source: RNAcentral